AUUGAACGCUGGCGGCAGGCUUAACACAUGCAAGUCGAGCGGUAGCACAGGGGAGCUUGCUCCCUGGGUGACGAGCGGCGGACGGGUGAGGAAUGUCUGGGAAACUGCCUGAUGGAGGGGGAUAACUACUGGAAACGGUAGCUAAUACCGCAUAACGUCGCAAGACCAAAGAGGGGGACCUUCGGGCCUCUUGCCAUCAGAUGUGCCCAGAUGGGAUUAGCUAGUAGGUGGGGUAAUGGCUCACCUAGGCGACGAUCCCUAGCUGGUCUGAGAGGAUGACCAGCCACACUGGAACUGAGACACGGUCCAGACUCCUACGGGAGGCAGCAGUGGGGAAUAUUGCACAAUGGGCGCAAGCCUGAUGCAGCCAUGCCGCGUGUGUGAAGAAGGCCUUCGGGUUGUAAAGCACUUUCAGCGAGGAGGAAGGUGGUGAGCUUAAUACGUUCAUCAAUUGACGUUACUCGCAGAAGAAGCACCGGCUAACUCCGUG
RNAcentral lists this ribosomal RNA (490 nucleotides) under uncultured bacterium. RNAcentral's name for it is "partial 16S ribosomal RNA". It matches the Rfam family "Bacterial small subunit ribosomal RNA", at positions 30 to 507 of the family's 1533-position model. The record is from RNAcentral.